This 6079-nucleotide long non-coding RNA is filed under the name Cucumis sativus (cucumber). RNAcentral describes it as "long non-coding RNA (CSAT_LNC000650)". The record is from RNAcentral. Lineage: Eukaryota; Viridiplantae; Streptophyta; Magnoliopsida; Cucurbitales; Cucurbitaceae.
CAUGCUUCUUGGUUUGAUGGCGAUUUUAUCAUCAUGUGGGAGUUGUAGCUUUCACACUGAACUUUCCCUUGAAGAAGCAACUUUGAAAGAUCUCCAACGUGCUUUCUAUCAAAACAAACUCACCUCCAGGCAACUUGUCGAGUUUUACCUCGAACAAGUGCGUAGACUUAACCCCAUCCUAAAAGGGAUUAUAGAAGUGAAUCCAGAUGCUUUAGACCAAGCCUCUCGAGCUGACCUCGAGCGCAAGAAAAGCUCACCAAGAUCUUUGUCUCCACUUCAUGGCAUUCCUGUACUUGUAAAAGAUAACAUUGCAACCAAGGAUAAGCUCAACACAACCGCUGGCUCUUUUGCUCUACUUGGCUCUGUUGUUCCUCGUGAUGCAGGUGUGGUUACUAAGUUGAGGAUGGCAGGUGCAAUCAUAUUUGGAAAAGCGAGCCUGAGCGAGUGGUCUUACUUCAGGUCCAAUGCACUUCCCAGUGGUUGGAGCGCUAGGGGUGGCCAAGGCAAGGUGUGUAACUUUUCCAACUUCAAUAAUUGUCUGUUUCUGAAAGAGGAAGAUUAUCACUUUAGAUAACGCGGAGUUUCAUUUCAAAAUCAAUUGAUGAUAAUGAGCAACUUACAACUUAGUUUAUCUAUCUUAAAAAUAUUUCGAGGUUCUUUCAUUUUUUCAGGAAAUACACAAUAUAUCUAUUAAGAUGGAGUUACUUUUGAGUGUUGGAGAUAUAAAGAAUCCCAUGUUAAAAAAACCAAGAAAAUUUUCACUCCAUAUAAUAUAGAUGAGCUACUCUUUUUGCAUUGAGUGUUCUUGGACUGGAUACCGAGUUUUAUUUUUAGACCAUGUCAAGUCACCUAUUGAUCGCCUAAAAGCUUACAGUUGAUAAAUUCAAUUAUACCAAUACUUAUAUAUCUCUCACGAUUGAAUAAAAGAAGAUUUUGAGCUGUUGACAUACUCAGAUUCAGCAAACAGAGUGAUUUAAGUUCAAAAUAUCUCUAAGUAAGCUAGACUGUCCAAUUAAAAGAAAAGAGAUUUGUUUUGAAUCAACAACAAACUAAAGAUCACCCAUAUGCGCCAUAUGUUUGCAGAAUCCUUACACAAUGGGAGAACCGUGUGGCUCCAGCAGCGGCUCUGCCAUAUCUGUUGCAGCAAAUAUGGUUACAGUUUCACUGGGAACCGAAACUGAUGGAUCAAUAUUAUGCCCUUCUACUCUCAACUCAGUAGUUGGCAUUAAACCCACAGUAGGUCUCACCAGUAGAGCAGGGGUCGUUCCGAUCUCUUCGAGGCAGGACACUGUCGGGUAAUCAAUUUGUCAUCAUUGAAAUUUUCCCAUUUAUAUUUGUAUCCAAAGGAAGUACUUUCUGCUGAAUGAGUGAUGAUGAAACAGGCCUAUUUGUAGAACAGUGUCAGAUGCGGCUUAUGUUCUAGAAGCCAUUGUAGGAGCGGAUAGAUAUGACAAUUCAACAAUUGAAGCAUCAAAAUACAUUCCAAAAGGAGGAUAUGGCCAAUUUCUAAGGGCUGGUGGGCUGAAAGGAAAGAGAAUAGGAAUUGUGAGGGAAUUCUAUGAUUUUGGUCCUGAUGACACUUUCUACACUCAAGCUUAUGAGAAAGUCGUCAAAACCUUGAAGUAAGAAAGCAAUCUCACUUUUCAUAAACCAUCUUUUUUUUAUAUAAUUAUGUUAGAGGUUUUUAUCUGACCCUUUGUCAUCAAUAACAUGAAAGGAAAGGAGGAGCAAUAUUGGUGGACAAUCUGAUGAUAGACAACCUAGAGCAAAUCUUUGACGGUUCAAGUGGGGAACAGAUUGCAUUGCUUGCCGAAUUCAAAAUAUCCUUAAAUGCCUAUCUCAAAGAGCUAGUUGCUUCUCCAAUUCGAUCCUUGUCAGAUGCAAUAGAAUUCAACAAAAAGAACUCAAAACUUGUGAGCGACUAUCAUCUAUUCUGUUCUAAUUUUACAAAAUCCGCACAACACAAAAGGCAAACUAUCAUAACAAUGAAAUCUUAUCACUAUGUAGGAAAAUCUAGAGUAUGGUCAGGAGGAAUUUCUAAAAGCAGAAGCCACAAAUGGAAUCGGAGAUGCAGAAAAGGCAGCAUUAGCCAGAUUAGCAAAACUGUCAAAAGAUGGAUUUGAGAGACUGAUGAUUAAGAAUAAGCUUGAUGCAGUAGCAGCUCCUGGUUCGCUAAUAUCUCCUGUUUUUGCAAUUGGAGGUUUUCCUGGAGUUAGUGUACCAGCUGGAUAUGACCCUCAAGGGAAUCCCUAUGGUAUCUGCUUUGGAGGAUUAAAAGGAUUCGAGCCAAGGCUGAUAGAGAUUGCAUAUGGAUUUGAGCGUUUGACUAAGAGUAGAAAGCCCCCUUCAAUUAAGAGACAAUAAAUUAUCCAUCUAUGGAUGAAAUCUUAAGGUUUGCCAGAAGCUAUUAGACUUGUAAUGUUUAAUCCUUGUGAUGAAACUACAUGUUUCAACAAGUAAUAAAAUGAUUUCCUUAAUUUAAAUACAAAACUUCUAAGAUAUUAACUGACAAUAUUUAACGUAGGUGUAGAAAGAAAGCCCUGCUGCUAAACCUGUUUGUUGAGAAAAUGAAAUCGAUGGAAAAAUAUAGAUGUUAGGGAAGAAAAUCAAUGUCUCAAUGUUUGUUUAACGUUAAACAAAGAGAAUGUGAGAGCGAAAUCCAAAGGUUGUGUUACUCAAAAUGCGGUACCCAAAAUUGUGAUACACAAAAUGUUGUAUAACAAAUGUGAUACUAAAAAAUGUUGAACUGAAGGCAUUCACUCUACUAUGAAUUUCCAUCCUAUUGAUAUGAAUUCACUUUUAACGCAUUGCAUUGGUAAAUUGGAUUCAAAGACUGGGUUGGAAUUAUCUUCAAUGGUAUAGUGAUAUAACAAUCUUCAUGAAAGGCAGACCAGUGGUGAAUCCAAGUUGUGAUUAACUUUCCAGUUCAAUACAAACUGUAAUGGAACCUAACCCAGAUUACAAAUCUGAUACAUAACGAGAUUUCAUUAUACCAUUCCUAAUUAGAAGAGACAAUUAAAUUGCAAGAACAAUGGGCUUCAAUGAUGCAAUAUGAGAAUCAAGAACAAAGUCGACAAUAGCCUAUAUCAGGGAAUUGAUAAUAAUACUGUUUCAGAGAGAAAUGAAAAAGAAGCUGGAAAUUACCAGGACGAUAUAUCAAUAUUAUCCUUCUUUAUGAUUUUUUCUCUCUUUUGUCCAACCAGUCUUCGUCAUUCUCUCUGGCUUCCUCUUCUUUCGUCUUCACGCACGAGCUCUCUCCAACUUCCUCUUCUUUCGUCUUCACGCACGAGCUCUCUCCAACUUCCUCUUCUACUCCAGCACAGCAUGCAUGGGCAAGAAACUUCUUCGAGAGAGACUUAAAGAUGGGUGGUGGGAGAGUGAGACCAACUGAAGAUGGGCGAGAGUGACACCAAGCGAGAGAGACUGAGAGAAGAGUGACACCAACAUGCAAGACUAAGAGAGAUUGAGCCAGACGGAGACAAAGGAGAUUGCUUCUUCCCCAUGCACGUGAGUGUAUUUUGGUCAGCAAAGGAUCAUUCAACAUUUUAAAAAAUAAAAAUGAAUUAUUUUCCUUCCAAUUUUUGGAUCAUCACAAAUUCGACUCUUUUUUCAUUUCACUUCUAAUUGCUCACUUUAUUUUAUUUAAAAAUCAUUUCAAGAUCCUACCAUUAGCAAAAAUGUUAUCAUGAUAACAUUAGAAACGUGAAGUCUCCAAUUUAAAAAAAUAUGAAUAUUGGUGAAAAUUUUAAAGACUGCAGGAAAGUUCAUGAAAAUUGUUUCAAUUAGUUAAUUGUUAGUUAGUUGUAGCAAAUAUAGAUUUAGAUUGUAGUUCAAGAACAACUUUUAAUUAUCCUUUCUUUAUCUAUUUUGAUGGUUAUAGACUCAUAGAACAUGUCAAAUAAUUUCACAUUUAAUCAUUAGAUAAAAAAUAAUUAAUUAUGUAAAGUGAGAUUUUAGCUUCUUAUUGAAUUUCCUCGUAUAGAAAAACUAGAGAACUACUUCAAAACUAAAGAACUACGUAAUGGUUAGUUGAAUUAUGUAAUUAAACUAUGACGACUUUUAUUAUUUUAAAAAAAUCGUAGUUAGAGGCUUGUCAUUAGCGUACUCUUAAUUCACAACCUAAAUCUAUCGAUGGUUGACAAUUAGAUUUCGAUCACAAUACACUACUAACAUAACAUGUAUUCUAUGAUAUAUUUCAAAUGUCUUUUUCUUACUUCAGUUUUGUUUUCUCAAUGACUCAAGAAAAUAUUAAAAAUAAUUCCAUGCAAUUUUUUUUCAAAGUAACUAUAAAAAUUAGCGUGGAAAACUCUUUACUAAAAUAGUUAUGUGUAAAAGAAAUAUAGCUAAAUUUGUUAAUUUUAACUUCUAAUUUAACUAAAGUUUUAACUAAGAGUCAUAGGAAAGUCUAUAAAUACCGUGUAUUACUUUGAUAUUUGAUGAUGACAAAAACUGAACUUAAAUAAUAUCUUGUUCCCAAACACAAUGGACAUAGGCACUUGCCAAAACACUUUAAAAUCAUGUGUGUUCAUCUUCUCCUUCUACUUCUCUUCAUCUCACCAUCUCCUAAAAGAAACUCAAACAACUAAACCUAGAAAAAUACAGGAAAGAAAGAAAGGAGAAGAAAGCUUGGAGAACUCUUAUUAAUCUUCUGUAAUCCAAAAUCACACACAAAGUGAAAAGCAAGAGAAAUUGAAAGACCGUGGAGAGAGAACCCAUAAUUACAUGAAGAUAGGUGGUUUCUUUGUGUCCACACACGUGACUUCCACUACAACUAGAAAUAAUUAAACUACUUCAUGGGACCCAGAAAUGAUAUAUUGGAAGAAUCUUUUGGCUCUUCCAAUAUCAAUAGGUUGAUUGUUUUGCUCAUGUAUCUUCCAACUAGUUUCGUUCAAGUAACGGAUUCUAGCCAAUUGAAAAGAUCUUCUGAUCAACGAUAUAUAACUGAAGCUUAAAACAUACCUAGUAAUAGAUUUCUACACUAUUUUAUUAGUAGUGUUAUCAAUGAUAUGAAGAUAGAGUAUCAAAUAUAUACUCUAUCAUCCAAACAAUCUAUGAAUGAUAUAAUUUUACCAACGAUAGAUUUACAUAUUGUGUCAUAUUAAAUCUAUCAAUCAAAAAAGUUUAUUACUACUAAUAACAAAAUCUAUUAUUUUAUAUACUCUUGGAGAUAAAUGUAAAUUGUAUUAUAUCUCUAAUUUUUUAGAUUUUACUAUAUUUUUAUAUUUGCAAAUGCCCUAAUUUUUCUUCUAUUUCCAAAAGUUUUGGUUAAUUAUCUCAUAAAAGCAUUUUUCUUUUCUUUUUUAUAAUCUAUCUCUAGAAAAAAGAAAAAAAAAAAACCUAUAAAAAUGAUUUGUAAUAGUAGUAGUGAGUGUAGUUAUCAAUAUAAACCAAGGAUAGAAGCAAUUCCUAAUCAAAGACUCGAGAGUCAAAACAUACUUUUUCUAGAAUUUCAUUUGGGUGUGUCUCUUGAAGAAAAAAUCAUUUUUGGUCAUUGCUAACACUACAAAUUUUAGAUAAAUGAUAUUUUUAAAAAUGGCACACAUAUAUUAGCAUACUUCAACUUGACAUGAAUCUUCUUAUUAGGCCAUGAAUCUUCAACUCAAAGUUAAAAGUUUUGAUCUCCAUAAAAAAAAAUGGGUCUAAGAAUUAAAGUGUUCUUGAUUCUCAAAAAGAUAUUUCCACAAAGGAGUGGAGCAUACUCCACUUGAUCGUUGACUGAUAAAAUAAACAGAUUCACGAACUAAGCUCCCAUGGCUGCCCAAAGCUUUCCCAUUUACAUAUCCAUGCUUCUGGGUUUGUUGGCAAUUUUAUCAUCAUAUGGGAGUUGUAGCUUUGACACCAACUUUUCCAUUGAAGAAGCAACUUUGAAAGACCUCCAACUUGCUUUCUACCAAAACAAACUCACCUCAACGCAACUUGUUGAGUUUUACCUCGAACAAGUGCGUAGAUUUAACCCCAUCCUGAAUGGGAUCAUAGAAGUGAAUCCAGAUGCUUUAAACCAAGCCUCUCAAGCCGACCUUGAGCGCAAGAGAAGCUCACCGAGAUCUUUGUCUCCACUUCAUGGCAUUCCUGUACUUGU